Molecule: long non-coding RNA, 688 nt
Filed under: Pongo abelii (Sumatran orangutan)
Lineage: Eukaryota; Metazoa; Chordata; Mammalia; Primates; Hominidae
Description: lincRNA
Source: RNAcentral
GGCUUUGCCUCCUAUGGGUGCCUUGUGAGCAGCAGAUUCGACUUCCUCCUCAAACCAAGUUAUCCUGAAAACACCCAAGCAGAGGAAGCAUUUUUUCACCAUGACAUGGGAAAGGGCCACAGGGAUCCAAAUGGAAACGGACAUUUCAUACAGAGUCCUGCUCUGUCACCCAGGCUGGAGUGCAGUGGCAUGAUCCUGGCUCAUUGCAACCUCUGCCUCCCGGAUUCAAGCGAUUUUCAUAUAUCAGCCUCCCAAGUAGCUGGGAUUACAGGCGUGGGCCCCUGUGCCCCCCACCACUUCUGGAACCACUGAAGCACAACCACACUUUGGAGCCAGAAGAGGAGCUGAAAUGUCAAUUGGAGAGGACUUUCCUGCUCUAAAAGGUAAACCUCAGGUUCUCCUCCUGCCUUUUGCUAAGUAUAUGUCUUGAUGACAAGCCUUCUGCUAAUGAGCUGUGUUUCUGGACCGAUCAUGGUAGAAGUCAAUUGAAGUGUCCCUCACUUGGGGUUUCUUAAGGCUGCACUGAUGAGGAAACUGAAACAGAAAAUCCAGAGUAAAUUCCACCAGGCCACACAGCAAGGUCUGAUAGAGCCAGGAGAGACUUUAUGAAAUCCAGACUCUCACACUAAUGCUCUAUCAGCUAGACCUCCAUGUGAGUCUCCCCAAUGUAGGUAGGAAGCACUUUCCC